CAGCCAGCGCCUCGUGAACCAGGCCCAUGCGGCACGUGGCAGCGAUGCCUUCCGCGACGCCGCCUCCCGGGACGUGUACUCCAAGCUGCAGGGCUCCCUGGAGGCUCGAGUAAGCAGCCGCAGGCACUUCAGUUCGCGGUAGCUUGGCUUAGCGGACAGCAUGGCGGCAGGGCGGUAGAGCUAUUUUGGGAAGAUGGUUACAAGCUUUGCGGGGGUUGUCGCCACUUGGGAACCACGGAGUUAUGGAUAAGCCGAGGGCGUCGUAGGCUUGGAGUGACUUAGAAAAACAGUAUUGAGAUCGCAUCCCGGCGCGCGUUUUUCCUGAAUUAAAUGAAUGACGUCACAGUAGGUUUGAACUGAUGACCGGUGCAGCCCGCCCACUGGAUUGUUGUACUUCACCGCGCCGUUGUUUUGCCACCUGCGGCUGUACCCUUUCGCGUCUUGUGGUUAUCGAACCUGGUUCCUGAACACACUUCCGCUUGUUUUGCUUGGUUAUGUCGUUCAAGGUGAGGGGUGAGGUCCUAGCCUACUUCUCAGCUAGGUUCAUGCUGUGUGUUUUCGUAUGGCAGCCCAUUUGUGAAGUUAGCAGAAGGAGUGAACGCACCAUACACUUACGGAAAGCACGGGGCACGGACCGUUGGUGUGAGGUUGUUCCUGUGAAUUCGUUGCAGAUGGGGAGGUAGUGGAGGUCCCCUGCCGGUUGAAAUGGGCCACGAUUUCUGUAAAGCCGGAACCGGCCUCUGUACAAACUACAGGUCGGUCCUAUCGGCGAGGUUAGUCCCGAUUAACGAUUGUGGAAACAAGCGGCCUUCCCGUAUGCUGUUAUGGCUUCUGAAGGAUGGAAGUCAUUGACAGGCCCAUUUUUGAGCCAGGGUGUGCCAAGUUCGGCAAUUCCAACGAUGGAAUAUCGGAGAAAGGCCUUACUCCGGACGCGCAUCGUUAUGGUCUAAUGCGAUGCGUUCCUUGGUCAUCCUAGGUAUAAAC
Molecule: long non-coding RNA, 984 nt
Filed under: Volvox carteri
Lineage: Eukaryota; Viridiplantae; Chlorophyta; Chlorophyceae; Chlamydomonadales; Volvocaceae
Description: long non-coding RNA (VCAR_LNC001655)
Source: RNAcentral